GACGAACGCUGGCGGCGUGCUUAACCCAUGCAAGUCGAACGGAAAGGCCCUGCUUUUGUGGGGUGCUCGAGUGGCGAACGGGUGAGUAACACGUGAGUAACCUGCCCUUGACUUUGUGAUAACUUCAGGAAACUGGGGCUAAUACCGGAUAGGAGCUCCUGCUGCAUGGUGGGGGUUGGAAAGUUUCGGCGGUUGGGGAUGGACUCGCGGCUUAUCAGCUUGUUGGUGGGGUAGUGGCUUACCAAGGCUUUGACGGGUAGCCGGCCUGAGAGGGUGACCGGCCACAUUGGGACUGAGAUACGGCCCAGACUCCUACGGGAGGCAGCAGUGGGGAAUAUUGCACAAUGGGCGGAAGCCUGAUGCAGCAACGCCGCGUGCGGGAUGACGGCCUUCGGGUUGUAAACCGCUUUCGCCUGUGACGAAGCGUGAGUGACGGUAAUGGGUAAAGAAGCACCGGCUAACUACGUG
RNAcentral lists this ribosomal RNA (468 nucleotides) under uncultured bacterium. Its description in RNAcentral is "partial 16S ribosomal RNA". It matches the Rfam family "Bacterial small subunit ribosomal RNA", at positions 28 to 507 of the family's 1533-position model. The record is from RNAcentral.